GCGUCCUUCAGACAGGAAAUAGGAUCUUAGUGGGUGGCCGCCAAGAGCGCACAGACUUUGAAGCAGGAAAAGACAGUCUCUAGAGCAACAUGGAAAGGAUCCAGAAUCUAAAAUAUUCCUGGAAAUGGAGAGUCCUGACAUGAUGGCCCCAUGAUGAAAAGAACCCAGGUUCCUGAGUCACGACGUGGACAUGAGGCACCAAGGAGAAAACACGUGAACCUUAAUAAGUUUGGGGUGAGAGAGAAAUAAACCUUAAGUAUGUUAAGCUUCUGUCAUUUCAAGGUAAUACAGUGUGGAAGGCAGAAAAAUGACCCACUCUCCCCUGAUAUCCAUUAAAG
This 338-nucleotide long non-coding RNA is filed under the name Homo sapiens (human). RNAcentral's name for it is "non-protein coding lnc-RNF152-2:5". Lineage: Eukaryota; Metazoa; Chordata; Mammalia; Primates; Hominidae. The record is from RNAcentral.